GUCGAGCGAAGCGAAUCUUCGGAAGUUUUCGGAUGGAAGAGGAUUUGACUUAGCGGCGGACGGGUGAGUAACGCGUGGGUAACCUGCCUUGCACUGGGGGAUAACAGUUAGAAAUGACUGCUAAUACCGCAUAAGCGCACAGGGCCGCAUGGCCUGGUGUGAAAAACUCCGGUGGUGUAAGAUGGACCCGCGUCUGAUUAGGUAGUUGGUGGGGUAACGGCCCACCAAGCCGACGAUCAGUAGCCGACCUGAGAGGGUGACCGGCCACAUUGGGACUGAGACACGGCCCAAACUCCUACGGGAGGCAGCAGUGGGGAAUAUUGGACAAUGGGCGAAAGCCUGAUCCAGCGACGCCGCGUGAGUGAAGAAGUAUUUCGGUAUGUAAAGCUCUAUCAGCAGGGAAGAAAAUGACGGUACCUGACUAAGAAGCCCCGGCUAACUACGUGCCAGCAGCCGCGGUAAUACGUAGGGGGCAAGCGUUAUCCGGAUUUACUGGGUGUAAAGGGAGCGUAGACGGUUUAGCAAGUCUGAAGUGAAAGCCCGGGGCUCAACCCCGGUACUGCUUUGGAAACUGUUGGACUUGAGUGCAGGAGAGGUAAGUGGAAUUCCUAGUGUAGCGGUGAAAUGCGUAGAUAUUAGGAGGAACACCAGUGGCGAAGGCGGCUUACUGGACUGUAACUGACGUUGAGGCUCGAAAGCGUGGGGAGC
RNAcentral lists this ribosomal RNA (708 nucleotides) under uncultured Lachnospiraceae bacterium. RNAcentral's name for it is "bacterial SSU rRNA". It matches the Rfam family "Bacterial small subunit ribosomal RNA", at positions 61 to 769 of the family's 1533-position model. The record is from RNAcentral. Lineage: Bacteria; Bacillati; Bacillota; Clostridia; Lachnospirales; Lachnospiraceae.